UGCAACUACUAUGUACUCAAGGGAUUCACAU
This 31-nucleotide non-coding RNA is filed under the name Rattus norvegicus (Norway rat). The record is from RNAcentral. Lineage: Eukaryota; Metazoa; Chordata; Mammalia; Rodentia; Muridae.